ACGAACGCUGGCGGCGUGCCUAAUACAUGCAAGUCGAACGCUUCUUUCCUCCCGAGUGCUUGCACUCAAUUGGAAAGAGGAGUGGCGGACGGGUGAGUAACACGUGGGUAACCUACCCAUCAGAGGGGGAUAACACUUGGAAACAGGUGCUAAUACCGCAUAACAGUUUAUGCCGCAUGGCAUAAGAGUGAAAGGUGCUUUCGGGUGUCGCUGAUGGAUGGACCCGCGGUGCAUUAGCUAGUUGGUGAGGUAACGGCUCACCAAGGCCACGAUGCAUAGCCGACCUGAGAGGGUGAUCGGCCACACUGGGACUGAGACACGGCCCAGACUCCUACGGGAGGCAGCAGUAGGGAAUCUUCGGCAAUGGACGAAAGUCUGACCGAGCAACGCCGCGUGAGUGAAGAAGGUUUUCGGAUCGUAAAACUCUGUUGUUAGAGAAGAACAAGGACGUUAGUAACUGAACGUCCCCUGACGGUAUCUAACCAGAAAGCCACGGCUAACUACGUGCCAGCAGCCGCGGUAAUACGUAGGUGGCAAGCGUUGUCCGGAUUUAUUGGGCGUAAAGCGAGCGCAGGCGGUUUCUUAAGUCUGAUGUGAAAGCCCCCGGCUCAACCGGGGAGGGUCAUUGGAAACUGGGAGACUUGAGUGCAGAAGAGGAGAGUGGAAUUCCAUGUGUAGCGGUGAAAUGCGUAGAUAUAUGGAGGAACACCAGUGGCGAAGGCGGCUCUCUGGUCUGUAACUGACGCUGAGGCUCGAAGCGUGGGGAG
RNAcentral lists this ribosomal RNA (767 nucleotides) under uncultured Bacilli bacterium. RNAcentral describes it as "bacterial SSU rRNA". It matches the Rfam family "Bacterial small subunit ribosomal RNA", at positions 29 to 768 of the family's 1533-position model. The record is from RNAcentral. Lineage: Bacteria; Bacillati; Bacillota; Bacilli.